RNAcentral lists this ribosomal RNA (253 nucleotides) under uncultured bacterium. Its description in RNAcentral is "partial 16S ribosomal RNA". It matches the Rfam family "Bacterial small subunit ribosomal RNA", at positions 524 to 776 of the family's 1533-position model. The record is from RNAcentral.
UACAGAGGUCUCAAGCGUUGUUCGGAUUCAUUGGGCGUAAAGGGUGCGUAGGUGGCGCCGUAAGUCAGGUGUGAAAUUUCGGAGCUUAACUCCGAAACUGCAUUUGAUACUGCGGUGCUUGAGGACUGGAGAGGAGACUGGAAUUCACGGUGUAGCAGUGAAAUGCGUAGAUAUCGUGAGGAACACCAGAGGCGAAGGCGGUUACCUGGACAAUUACUGACGCUCAGGCACGAAAGCAUGGGGAGCAAAAGGG